Equus caballus (horse) is the source of this 4065-nucleotide long non-coding RNA. NCBI's taxonomy places the organism in Eukaryota, Metazoa, Chordata, Mammalia, Perissodactyla, Equidae. The record is from Ensembl.
UUUUUUGGUGAGGAAGAUUGGCCCUGAGCUAACAUCUGUUGCCAAUCUUCCUCUUUUUUCUUUCCUCCCCAAAGCCUCAGUAUAUAGUUGUAUAUCCUAGUUGUAGGUUCUUCUAGUUCUUCUAUGGGAUGCCAUCUCAGCAUGGCUUGAUGAGCGGUGCGUAGGUCCGCACCCAGGAUCCAAAACGGCAAACCCCAGGCCGCCAAAGUGGAGCGGGCGAACUUAACCACUAUGCCACUGAGCCAGCCCCAAGAAUUAUUUUUUUAAUGUCAAUAUUGACAAUAUAUUGUAAAAAAUAUCCUUUAUAACUAUUUAAAAUUAAAAUAAAAAUUUAGAUAUAGACUGUAAAUGUGUGAGGGGGCAUGUAAUUUUACAAAAUUCCUCUGGAGGAUAUGCAAGCCAAAAAAUGUGAAGCCCACUGGACACCAUUACAGGAUAACAUAUGUGGGGGAAUCCAAUAUAGCAGAAACUGAAAGAACAAAGAAACCACUCGUACAUGUUUGCUACUACGAUAUGGGCAAACUAUAUCACAUGAGGUAAUGUUUACAUAUGUGGUAGCUAUAACUAGUUUAAAAGCAGCUCUUUGUUCUCCUGCUUCUCGGGGGCAGGCACUGGCACACGUUGAGGAAAAGAAGUGACAGGACGGGCAUGUAAAUAGACUUGCUGAGGUGUCCCCCGAUUGAAUCUGGUCAAAUGACACUCAGAUUGGGAUAGAAGCCCACCCACAUGCAAGCAAGUGAAUCUGCUGGAGGCCCAGGUCACAAGGCCUCAGCGGGGGAUCUGCUCAUUUAAUACCUGAAACAAGGCCUCAUGAUAACCUCACUUUGUGGGGAGAAAUCAGUUCAGUGAAACUCUAACCAAGCAUAGGAAUCUUUUUAUCAUCAAGGUUUAAUUGGUUUAUUCUCCCAAAUUCCACUGGCAACAAAUUUAUUGUGCUCCUAGGGUGCCGUGCUGUAUUAUUUAUAAAUGCAGACAAUUCGAAAGCAGUAAAAUGCUUGGCCCUGGCUCUCAAUAAACUUGCUCUCUAAUUGGGAGGACAGCAUCCCAAUUAAAAUAACUGAAGACUAAUUCAAAGCAACAUGUAUGAAAUUCAUAACAACCCCACAAGAGGAACAAGUACCCUCACACUGUCCCGGUGGACAUACGCAUUGGUACAAACUUCUGUGGAAGGAAUUCGGGGACAGAGAUCAAAAUCACAACUACUUCUGGGAAUUCACCCUUCAGCCAUACUUAAGAUAUAACACAUUUACAAAGUUACUCACUGCAGUAUUAUUCAAAACAACAAAAGAUUACAAAGAACUCAAAUACCGUUCCAUAGAGGACUGACGAAAUAAAUUAUGCUGCAUAUAUACAAUGGAAUGUUUUGAAGGUAUAAAAAUGCAUGAGAAAGUUUUCAAUGCACAGAUAUUUUUUUAAGUCCCCAAGAUAUAUUAAUUGGAGGGGAAAAAAACCAGCAAGGUGUAGAAAAUGUGUUUAUGAUGCAUCCUUUUAUUUACAAAGAGGGAAAAACAAGAACACAGAAUAUAUUUGUAUUGCUUUAAUAUUCAUAAGUAAACUCUAGAAGCAUACACACAAAAACUAAAAGUGGAUGAGCUGCGGUGAGUUGUGGGAGGGUGAAAACAGGAUGGAAGCAGCCGGGGCAGAAGGGAGACUUUUGCUGUAUAAAACACAUAAAUAUAUUUUCCACUAUGGGAAUGUCUUCCUAUUCAAAACAAUUAAGAAAAGAAUAAUGAAAAACAUCCCCCGUGGAGGCCUAGCACAAUGAGAAGCUGGUUUCUGCGGGACUGGCUCCUCCUCGUCCUGUCUCAAGCAUGGACGCAAGGUUUGCCCAGCCCUGGGAACAGUAGGGACAAUGAACGAGAGUGGAGAGCAGAGUUUCUGCACUGGCAGCACUGGGCUGUUUCUGCCGGUGCCCUCAUGUCCGAGGGCUUCUGAGCCACCCCCUGCAGGUGCCUGUCCUUCACCAGAGACCGGAGCCCAUUCCUCCCCGCCUCCCCUGGUGCCAGGAUGUUCAUGACCAACCAUCCUCACCAGUUGCCAGAAUCCUUAAGCAGCUGGCUUUCAUGUUUAUGACGGGAGGGCAAAAGAGGGAGGGCAGGGUUGAUUAAGGAAACUUCUAUUCAGGGAGGAGUGAAGUCCAGGAGGUCAAAGAGUCGGGGACAGAUGCCUGGCCCGCUGCCAAGUCAAGCUUGGAAAAUACUCCCCCAAAAUACCACUGUGACAUCUGCCCAAAUGUGAACACUGCUGGCUUGAAGUUGUGUAAUCAUGGGUGAUUUUUUUCUGGUCUUUAUGCUGCGAUGUGCUUUCCAAUUUUUUUUUUAAUGAGUAUAGAUUAUUCUUAAAAACCAAAAAAAUUUGCAUACAAUGUGAAAUAUAUAUAUAUUAAAAACGAAACCAAACUACUCUUCUUAUGUAGUCCAGAAACUCUGAAAGAUAAAGAAAGGAAGCUCAGAUGGGCAGCAUAAGAAUUUUACAGCUAUAAACAAUAAAAAUAAGAAUAAUAUAAUUUUUAAAAAUUUCCUAUAAUGCUGAGGAUGUCACCUGGUCUGAGCUACGUUCCUAGUCAGGCUGGGCAGAGCGGAACUGCCCACGGGUCCAGGGCAGGAAAGGACAGUCAUUACAGAGAUGCCUGCAUUAUUGUAUGCUCUCUAGCUGGCGCAUCCCCACUCUCUUCCUCUCACUAGGUUUGAAACUUGAUAUUUAGCACUCAAACUUCUUUCCUCCCUCUACUCUCUAAACCCAAAUGAUGAUGAUGGUUCUAUUCAUCUUCUCAGAAACUUAAAAAAUAUAUUUUGAAAUGUGGCCAAUUUUUGUCUCAGCUCCUUAGUAAUCUUAGGAAAAGUAAACUAAUACUCAAAUUACUUGAGUAGGUUUGGGCGUAGUUGAGGCCAGCAAAGUUUCUCACCGUUUAACAGUUUUAUUUAAUGGAAAGGCAGUAAAGCCAGAUGCAAAACUGAGCCCCUCAAUGCUCGAAAAGAAUAUAGUGGACCUUGAUAUUUGCAACGGAUUUAUCCUAAAAUCUUCCCGAAUCCCGGACUUGGGAACAGAACCACCACACAAAAUUUCCCCCUUUAUCGGUCAGGGCUCUUUUGAUGGUAAAUGAUAGAAACUCACACGACAGAAAGUGGAGUGUAUUGGAAGGCAGAAUUCAAGGAAUGACUGAACCACCAAAUCUAGGAAAACACAGGCAUGCAGUAGGCUUCCAAAAAACAGGACCCAGGGACACAAACACCACCAGGACCCUGUGCAUCUCUCAUUUACGCUUCUUGCUGCAAGCCAUUCUCAUUGCCUUCUCCAAUGACAGGAAAUACGGCCACUGAGAGGUCAAAAAUUACCACUGGCAAGGAGUUCCUCAAGCUCUUUCUGGUUGUAAAUUCAAAAAUCCUGAGAAGUCCUUGAUUGGCCAGGGAAGGUCAGGUGUCUACCCUGGACCAAUCAGCUGUCAGCAUGGCAGUUCCUUCUAGAACUACAUGGCUGAAGUGAAGAAGCAGCAGUUCUCAGAACACAGCGGGUGCUGGACAGCCCAAAAUAAACAAACAGACAGACAGAGGUCUCCUAUACUCCAGUAAAAAGGAAUAAUGUAAAACUGAAAAAUGUAAAUGAUAUUUCAGACCCUUAUGGGAGUCAUUAUUUAUGCACAAAGCUGCAGUGAGAUGAAGAGGCUGGGCCUCUGCCUGGGAGCUCUCGGAAGCCAAGAGCUUCUGUCCUAUACAGCAGCCUCACAGCACACACAGUUCAAGAUCACUCUACCUUAGCAAAAUUCAAACUUUCAUGUGUCAUGGCCUUCUGAUUGCUCACAGAUGGUAAAUUAUAAAUGACAAGGGUCUAGAAUGCCUCAGAGAAAAGCAUUUCUAAUGGCAAGUGCUUCUCUGAAAUGAAUAGAUUCAUUAUAUAAAAAGGCAGAAUGGUUCUCAAUGAGCCUGCAUCCUGACUCAUCUUGACACCACCUGCUCCUCCCCACCUACUCAAUGACCAACGAACUCCUGUUGUUUCUACAUCAGUGGCAACUCUCCAAUUAGUCCCUUCCCCUUCAACUACCACUGUCCUGCUUCAAGUCCCCAUUAU